Molecule: ribosomal RNA, 465 nt
Filed under: uncultured Klebsiella sp.
Lineage: Bacteria; Pseudomonadati; Pseudomonadota; Gammaproteobacteria; Enterobacterales; Enterobacteriaceae
Description: bacterial SSU rRNA
Rfam family: Bacterial small subunit ribosomal RNA
Source: RNAcentral
CCUACGGGAGGCAGCAGUGGGGAAUAUUGCACAAUGGGCGCAAGCCUGAUGCAGCCAUGCCGCGUGUGUGAAGAAGGCCUUCGGGUUGUAAAGCACUUUCAGCGGGGAGGAAGGCGGUGAGGUUAAUAACCUCAUCGAUUGACGUUACCCGCAGAAGAAGCACCGGCUAACUCCGUGCCAGCAGCCGCGGUAAUACGGAGGGUGCAAGCGUUAAUCGGAAUUACUGGGCGUAAAGCGCACGCAGGCGGUCUGUCAAGUCGGAUGUGAAAUCCCCGGGCGCAACCUGGGAACUGCAUUCGAAACUGGCAGGCUAGAGUCUUGUAGAGGGGGGUAGAAUUCCAGGUGUAGCGGUGAAAUGCGUAGAGAUCUGGAGGAAUACCGGUGGCGAAGGCGGCCCCCUGGACAAAGACUGACGCUCAGGUGCGAAAGCGUGGGGAGCAAACAGGAGUAGAUACCCUAGUAGUC